GUCGGUUUCACGGCCCAGCAAAAGGCGGUUUCGCGGCCCAGCAAAAGGCAGGUUCGGUCCUCCUCCUCCCCAGUCUCUUCGUCGCCGGUGCGGCCGCCACUGUCGCUCUUCCACCAACUAGGGGAGGAGGACGCGGUCCCUUGGGCGAGAUUCACACAUCUGCCUCUACAGGAGUGCUUGAGCAGAAGCACCUCGCUAUCGUUGAGGCCACCACGGCCGCCUGCGGGUGCGAUGAGGAGAAGGAUCUCCUGGUGGAGCUUGGCAGCGGGAAGGAGUCGGGAGGAGGAGAUUUCACGAAAUCUGCACUUAAUCAUCGAUUCACCAGACCUGCAGGUUUGGAGGACAAAGCCUUGAUGUUGUGGCCAAACAAAGCUUGAUAAUAAACUUGCAGCCAGCAAGUUGCUUUGAUAAAUAUGUUCACUUCUACAAACUGUAGUAGCAGCAACCAGCAAGUGUUUAAACUUACAACCGUUUUUUUUUUAAUCCUUAAAUAAAUUUGUGUUAGCCUAUUUUUUUUUGUUCAUUUACAAGCUUCAAGAAAACAAGCAUAGCUAAUCUAGCAUUUGACAGGGUCUCUGUUGCUGUCUUCCUUGAUCAGAAUCCCCUCCUAGCUUCAUGAUACAUCCUCGACCAAAAAUGAGGUUGAUCUAGUUUGCUGCUGGUUCAUGUAGUAUGGUUUCUAACCCAGACUAGAGUUUUUUUUUUUUUUUGAGAAAAGACUAGAGAGUUAUUUGGGGUGCUUUCAACAAUCAGAUUCACAGUCCUUGACAACACUUCUUCUAAUUCAUGAUGUUCAGUUGAAACGUCUUCCGGAUAAGGAACUAUAAUCACAUCUACAUCACAAUGGUUUCUCUCACAACUCCUCGAUUCGGGCGAUGCAACAUCAAUCAAACAAAAUAACGGUAAUUAGUAUGGUUUGACCGCACCAAGUUUCAACUAGAUAAUACUCAAAAUUGCAGGUCUAAACUAAGGAAAGGCUCAAGUAAGAUAAGUGGAGGAGAAAGUAACCAAUGGAAAAUUACAUGAAGCAUUCGUGAAUUUGAAUCGUGUGCAAUAUAUUAUUCUAUUUGCUUGGGUCGGAUGAAAUUCAGUUUUCAUGUGACUUUGUUUGGCCUGUACAAAUCCUCCACUAAUUGAAGUGCAGUCUAUUUAGUGGUAUUUCUAUAUUUUUUGGAUGUUCUGUUUAGGCUUUAGCUAUUGUCACAGUAAUAUUUUAUUAUUGUUUUGGAUUGAGCCAUGUCGAUUAUGAUGGGUCUACCAGUGCUCUACAGUUCAUUCUUUUUCUUCUCAUCAAAAAACAAAUGUUCAUUCUUUAUGCUUUCUUUAUCAUGCACUCUCUAGAGGCAAGAUGGAUGGAUCAAGUAGUUUGAUGACACCCUUUUUUUUGCGAAAAGUUAGAUGACACCCAUGUAGUAGCAGAUUAGUGUUUUGGUGUAUCUAUGCAAGUAUGGCGUCGUUUCAGGUGUUGAAGGCUCUAUUUACCGAGUAGAUGAAGGUGCUUCGUAUAUCAAAAGUUUAGACGAGGUAUUCCAUAUAUUUGUGCAAUUCAUGUUCAUAACAAAAAAAAU
RNAcentral lists this ribosomal RNA (1568 nucleotides) under Triticum aestivum (bread wheat). RNAcentral's name for it is "partial small subunit ribosomal RNA". Lineage: Eukaryota; Viridiplantae; Streptophyta; Magnoliopsida; Poales; Poaceae. The record is from RNAcentral.